This 839-nucleotide ribosomal RNA is filed under the name Mycolicibacterium neoaurum. RNAcentral describes it as "bacterial SSU rRNA". It matches the Rfam family "Bacterial small subunit ribosomal RNA", at positions 47 to 904 of the family's 1533-position model. Lineage: Bacteria; Bacillati; Actinomycetota; Actinomycetes; Mycobacteriales; Mycobacteriaceae. The record is from RNAcentral.
UCUUACCAUGCAGUCGACGGAAGGCCCUUCGGGGUACUCGAGUGGCGAACGGGUGAGUAACACGUGGGUGAUCUGCCCUGCACUUUGGGAUAAGCCUGGGAAACUGGGUCUAAUACCGAAUAUGAUCAUCGGCUUCAUGGUCGGUGGUGGAAAGCUUUUGCGGUGUGGGAUGGGCCCGCGGCCUAUCAGCUUGUUGGUGGGGUAAUGGCCUACCAAGGCGACGACGGGUAGCCGGCCUGAGAGGGUGACCGGCCACACUGGGACUGAGAUACGGCCCAGACUCCUACGGGAGGCAGCAGUGGGGAAUAUUGCACAAUGGGCGCAAGCCUGAUGCAGCGACGCCGCGUGAGGGAUGACGGCCUUCGGGUUGUAAACCUCUUUCAGCACAGACGAAGCGCAAGUGACGGUAUGUGCAGAAGAAGGACCGGCCAACUACGUGCCAGCAGCCGCGGUAAUACGUAGGGUCCGAGCGUUGUCCGGAAUUACUGGGCGUAAAGAGCUCGUAGGUGGUUUGUCGCGUUGUUCGUGAAAACUCACAGCUUAACUGUGGGCGUGCGGGCGAUACGGGCAGACUAGAGUACUGCAGGGGAGACUGGAAUUCCUGGUGUAGCGGUGGAAUGCGCAGAUAUCAGGAGGAACACCGGUGGCGAAGGCGGGUCUCUGGGCAGUAACUGACGCUGAGGAGCGAAAGCGUGGGGAGCGAACAGGAUUAGAUACCCUGGUAGUCCACGCCGUAAACGGUGGGUACUAGGUGUGGGUUUCCUUCCUUGGGGAUCCGUGCCGUAGCUAACGCAUUAAGUACCCCGCCUGGGGAGUACGGCCGCAAGGCUAAAACUCAA